GUUAAAAUAAAAAGAAAAAUAUUCUAAGUGCUAUUUUUAUUUCUAUGUGAAUGAGUUUGGUAUACAAAGUUGCUGGUGCCAUUCUUUCCCUUUUAUUUGCAUGUUUCUAAACAACACUUCAUAUGAAUUUCUCUUCCUUCACCAACUUUCUGUAUUUUUUUCUUUUUUCUUUGUAAAUAGCUAGAGACCAUACAAGCACAGCUGGAUUCUCUUACAUGAUGUUUGUGAAGACUGGUUUCUUCAUCACACUCCCACCACCUCAUUAUUUUGCAUUGAAGAAAGAUUGCCUGGAUGUAUUUUUUGGAGGAUUCAGUGACUUACUUUCUAUAAAUUAUACAGCUUAUCACUUCUUAGACAAAUAACAGCCAAAGGAGAUCACUGUUAGGAGUUCAGAGGUUCUAAUAUACUUUCUCUAGUUCUGUGAGCCAAUAGCAGUUGUUAAAAAACACUUUUACUUCAGAGAAAUCAAAAGUGAAUACCAUAUUAUUUUUACUGUCAUAUUGUUGCUUCACCUCUUUAUUUUUUACAUGCUUGAUUAUCUCUUUCUGUAUCAAGAAGAGACCAUAGAUAGAUAGUAUAAUGGGUACCCUAACAGAAUGUAGAUCUUUUUAUUACGUUAAUAAAAUUAAGAAACAACCACAUGCAAAGACAUUAUGUCAUUUUUCCUAUGAUGAAUGUAUUUUGAUUGAGAAAUAAUAUCAGAAAUAAAUUUAAAAUGGAGCUAGCAGUAUUAUGUGAGUUAAUUCCAAUGUGAGCUUCUCUGUCUGCUUCUGAGUUUAAUGAUUUAAUAAUAGUCCCAGGUUUGUGUGCUUUUCUUUGUACUGCAGAUUAAUAAUGAUUUAUUUCAUAGUGUGGGAGAUAGAUUUGGAUCAUGAAUAAAAACAAUUGUAAUGAGUACUAAAUGGGCAUUCUU
RNAcentral lists this long non-coding RNA (913 nucleotides) under Marmota monax (woodchuck). Lineage: Eukaryota; Metazoa; Chordata; Mammalia; Rodentia; Sciuridae. The record is from RNAcentral.